GGAGAGGUGCCCGGAGUGGUUUAUCGGGGGCCGGGGUUUUCCUCGGUCGGGUGGUUUGUCCGCCUGCGCAGGUUCGAAUCCUGCCCUCUCCG
This is a non-coding RNA of Streptomyces viridochromogenes, 92 nucleotides long. Lineage: Bacteria; Bacillati; Actinomycetota; Actinomycetes; Kitasatosporales; Streptomycetaceae. The record is from Rfam.